UGGGGAAUAUUGGACAAUGGGCGAAAGCCUGAUCCAGCCAUGCCGCGUGUGUGAAGAAGGUCUUCGGAUUGUAAAGCACUUUAAGUUGGGAGGAAGGGCAGUAAGCGAAUACCUUGCUGUUUUGACGUUACCGACAGAAUAAGCACCGGCUAACUCUGUGCCAGCAGCCGCGGUAAUACAGAGGGUGCAAGCGUUAAUCGGAUUUACUGGACGUAAAGCGUGCGUAGGCGGCUAAUUGAGUCGGAUGUGAAAUCCCCGAGCUUAACUUGGGAAUUGCAUUCGAUACUGGUUAGCUAGAGUGUGGGAGAGGAUGGUAGAAUUCCAGGUGUAGCGGUGAAAUGCGUAGAGAUCUGGAGGAAUACCGAUGGCGAAGGCAGCCAUCUGGCCUAACACUGACGCUGAGGUACGAAAGCAUGGGGAGCAAACAGG
RNAcentral lists this ribosomal RNA (429 nucleotides) under Pseudomonadota bacterium. RNAcentral's name for it is "Proteobacteria bacterium partial 16S ribosomal RNA". It matches the Rfam family "Bacterial small subunit ribosomal RNA", at positions 355 to 776 of the family's 1533-position model. Lineage: Bacteria; Pseudomonadati; Pseudomonadota. The record is from RNAcentral.